Molecule: long non-coding RNA, 3864 nt
Organism: Platichthys flesus (European flounder)
Lineage: Eukaryota; Metazoa; Chordata; Actinopteri; Pleuronectiformes; Pleuronectidae
Exons: 2
Source: RefSeq, a predicted model, not a curated record
UCGGUGCUCGGGCCCUAAUAAUAAUAAUCAUUUCAAUUUCAAUAGGGCCUCCCACCGAUUUCGGUGCUCGGGCCCUAAUAAUAAAAAUCCUUACAAAUUCAAUAGGGCCUCUCACCAUUCGGUGCUCGGGCCCUAAUAAAAUUUAAACCCAUAUUAUCUGUUGAUAUUAUUAUUAAAUUCUUUUAAAACCCUAGCUCCACUGAUAUUGACCAUAUUGUUGACAGCUCUGUUAAGUCAUUACGAUUAACAUUAAACUCAAUAGUGCCUCAAAAAACAAAAUUGUAAAACAUUGUAAAUUAGCUCCCUGGUAUAAUUCCAACACACAUGAAUUAAAACAAGAAUAAAAAAAACCAGAAGGAAGUGACGCUCCAGCAAACGUGUUGAAUAUCUCUUAGCCUGGAAGAAUAAUAUUAAAGCAUUUAAGAAAGCCCUCCGCAAAGCAAGAGCUGCCUACCACACAUUAAUAGAAGAAAAUAAAAACAAUCCCAGGUUUCUCUUCAGCACUGUAGCCAGGCUCACAGAGAGUCACAUCUCCACCGAACCCAGUACUCUUCGAUCCCUGAAUAGCAAUUUCUUUAUGAUCUUCCUUAAUGAUACAAUUCUAACUGUUAAAAAUAAAAUCCACCAUCUCCUGCCCUCAAUUUGCACAAAUACACGAUCAAGAACAGAAAUCUCAGGAGCUGCUUAGAAUGUAACAAUUAUUUAGACAGCUCUCCCUGAUCACCAUUGAUCAGCUGACAAAAAUAAUCUCAUGUUCUAAACCAACAACCUGUAUCUUAGAUCCCAUUCCCACAAAAUUACUUAAAGAAAUUCUGCCCCUAAUUGAUAGUACGUUACUGAACACAAUCAAUCUAUCAUUAUCGUCAGGAUAUGUACCAGAGUCCUUUAAAAUAUCUGUAUUCAAACCCCUUCUCAAACACCCAGUUAUACUUGUCAAUAAAACCUGAACAAUGUAAUCAGUUAACUAAACUCUUUUAAUGUCUCAAGGACAUAAAAAUAAUACUUGGCCCUAAACACCUACAUAGAUACAUUAUCUAAUGAUAUAUCUGCACUAGACGAGAUUGCCCUUGCUUCCAAUGAUACAGUCAGGAACUUGGGAGUGAUAUUCGAUCUGAUUUGUCCUUGAAUUCUCACCUAAAACAAAUUUCUAGGACUGCCUUCUUCAACUUGCGUAAUAUCAAAAAAAUCAAAAAUCUAAAUCAAAAAAUGUCCUUUUUUCAAAAAGAUGCAGAAAAACUAGUCCACACCUUUGUUACAUCCAGACUUGAUUAUUGUAAUUCAUUAUUUUCAGGCUCCAGCAGUAAGUUGUUAAAGACUCUGCAGCUUGUCCAAAUCCUCCUCACAUUCAAGGCCCUUAAUACAGUUUUUCACAAUUGUUAACACACGUUUUUCAAAACAAUAACGGCUUUCUCAAAACUGCACACACAAAACUGAAAACCUCACACACAAAAUGCUAAACCUGACACUCCCUUUGCAAGAUGACUCUUUACUAUCAAAACUCUUACCUGUUCACAAAAUGGAACUCGUGUUUUCAUUUGGUACACACAGUCAUAUUUUAAAAUGACACACACAUACCAUUCAUUGAGAACACACAACUAAGCAUUUGCUUGCACACUACCAAGUAUUUACAACACACUGCAGUGCAAAACUGAAAACACAAACAUCAAAAUGGAACACACCAUAUGAAUGACAGUGACUCUGGAGAAUGAGCCAUUUCUCCUUUUGUAAAAUGUCUCAGUGUAGGCCCACUUUUUUCAUAGUCAAACAUAAAACAGCACACAAAUAUGCAGCAAAAAAAGGUUUAUUUCGGUACACACAGAACAGUACUGUACUGUAAACCGGCCUGUUCAACCCCCCCCCCCCCCUUCACAAAAAUUACAGCAUUUCACAAUUGUUAACACACGUUUUUCAAAACAAUAACAGCUUUCUCAGAACUGCACACAGAAAACUAAAAACCUCACACACAAAUUGCUGACAGGUCUCGACAAUCACGUCGCCAGAGGCCUCCUCCAUAGCCUGGAGCAGUGGGACCCGGUCCUGUGGGUUCCGUUCAUAUUCCUUCCACCUCCAAGCUGAAAAUAAUUCCUCAAUAGGAUUCAGGAAAGGAGAAUAAGGUGGAAGGUAUAGAACGAAAAAAUGUGGGUGGUCCUGGAACCACUCCUGCACUUGAGCAGCCCGGUGGAAGCUCACAUUGUCCCUGAUGACAACGUGAUCGAGCCGCUGUGGGUCUAUCUGGCCAGGUGGUACCAGCAGGUCAUGCAGGCCAUCCAGGAAGACGAGGAGACGGGCAGCGUUAUAGGCCCCUCGGUGGGCAUGGCGGUGCAAGAUCCCAUGGUGAUUCAUUGCAGCACACAGUGUAAUGUUCCCGGGACACGCUGGCCGGGGACCUCCACAAUGGCCCCACUGGCCAAUGACGUUUCUGCCCCGUCGCCUCCUCUUCACCAGGUUGAAUCCCACCUCAUCAAUAAAGAUGUACUGGUACAACACAUGAGCUGUGUGAGGCUUUCUACCUCAAUAUUUUUUAUUUUAUUUUAUUCUAUUGUAUUGUAUUUUAUUGUAUUCAAAUGUACUGGCUGCUAUGACGACUUUAUAAUAAAUAAAGUAAUCUAUCUAUCUAUCUAUCUAUCUAUCUAUCUAUCUAUCUAUCUAUCUAUCUAUCUAUCUAUCUAUCUAUCUAUCUAUCUAUCCAUCUCCUGGAUCCGCUGACACAGACAGCAUGAGAAUGCAAGUUACAGUAUGGACACAGAGAGGUCAACACAGUGGGCUACAGUGAGACACUGUAGAAAAGGAACAAUAUUUGAUUACAGGUACAAUACAUGCAUGUGUCAGUGCUGAAUGUUGGUACUUACAAGCACAAACUCUCACUGUAACUCCUUGAUGCCUGUGUUACGUUCAAAUGGGACCCUGAACACUUGUUUCAUCCGCAUGGCAGUCCUAUGAAGAAUACACUCCAAUGUAGAGAGGCUGACGGUCUGGACGUUUCUAAACGUAGCAUGGUCAGCCAGGAUCCUAGUUUUCAUUUGUCUGAGUGUGAUAGAGUUGUUCUCACGAACCAUAUCUACAAUUUCUGUCUCCUGUUCGGCUGUGUAAAUGCGGUGAAAUUAUUCAACAGACCUGAAUGUUUAGAGAUUUGAGUAUUUGUGUGUUGUAGGUUGAUGCUUUGAGAUUUUACUUGAGAAGUGUGUGCAACAACUGAACAUUGUGUGUAGUGUUUUGACAACAAUGUGAUGUGUAAUUGACAGAGUGUAAAGAAUGAAAGUCAGAGUCUAAUGCAGAUAAGGGAGUGUGAAGUAGUGCCAAAUUGGGUCGAGUGAUUGGUACAUGAAGUGAAGGUUGUGCAAAUUGUGCCGAAUUUUCGCUUUUUGUGUGUUAACAAUUGUGAAAAACUGUAAUAUGGCACCAUUAUACCUCAAAGAGCUCAUGGUACCUUAUCAGCCCACUAGAGCACUGCGCUCCCAGAAUUCAGGCUUACUUGGUGUCCCUGAAGUCUCUAAAAUACAAUUUGAUGGAUUGAUGGAUGAUUGUGUGGGGUUUGUGUUUGGUGUUGUGUUGUUUUGCUGUGUCUCCUCCUUCCCUUCUGUUUUCUCCCUGUGUGUUGUGUGUGGCAGGGGGCGUGGCUGGCUCGUGGCUGCAGCAGGACGAGGCACACCUGCUCCCAUUCCAUCUAAUCAACCCCUCCAUAAAAGCCUGGUGUACUCACCACUUCAGUGCCAGAUUAUUCCAUCUACUAUGAUCCUCAUGUGCCUCUCCGCUCGGCUCCUCAUCCUCUUCUCAACCAGGAUCUCCAAGCCAACCAGCACCCUGCCGCUCCAGCCUUCAUCUACCUCUCCUGCAAAUAAACUCUGUUCAUUAACCCACCAACAA